AUGGAUGAGCCGAUGUCCAAGCUCACCAAUGACCUAAUCGCGGAGAUCCUCUCUCGCGUGCCCUACAAAUCUCUCUGCAUAUGCAAGUGCGUCUGCCCGGCCUGGCGCGGCAUCAUCGCCGACCCCGCCAACCGGAAGAAGAUGGCGCAGACCCUGGCCGGAUUCUUCUACCGCAUCACGGCCGACUCCGCCGAGCCCCCCGGCCACGCCGUCAACUACGCCGACCUGUCCGCCUUCCCUUGGGCGAGCGUCGCCGAGGCCUACCCGCGCCUGCCGCUGCCGCCCGACAGCACAGACUCCUUCGUCUCCCUCGAGGAUUCAUGCGAUGGGUUGUUUCUCACAAGCAUCCGCACGGGCACCCCUGCUGGGACAUCUCGCUACAUGGUCUCCAAUCCAGCUACAUGUGAGUAUGUUGUGCUGCCUCACUCUGGCUACGCCGGCGACUGCUGUCGCGCUUACCUGGGUUUCGACGGUGAAGUGUCCACUCAAGAGUUUCAUCUGUUUGAAUUUGUGCUGGAACAAUCCCAAUCCCUGGCUGUGAGAGGAGUGAACAUUUAG
This 558-nucleotide ribosomal RNA is filed under the name Triticum aestivum (bread wheat). RNAcentral describes it as "partial small subunit ribosomal RNA". The record is from RNAcentral. Lineage: Eukaryota; Viridiplantae; Streptophyta; Magnoliopsida; Poales; Poaceae.